AUUGAACGCUGGCGGCAUGCCUUACACAUGCAAGUCGAACGGCAGCACGGGUGCUUGCACCUGGUGGCGAGUGGCGAACGGGUGAGUAAUACAUCGGAACGUACCUUAUCGUGGGGGAUAACGCAGCGAAAGCUGUGCCAAUACCGCAUACGCCCUGAGGGGGAAAGCGGGGGAUCGCAAGACCUCGCGCGAUUAGAGCGGCCGAUGCCUGAUUAGCUUGUUGGUGGGGUAAAAGCCCACCAAGGCGACGAUCAGUAGCUGGUCUGAGAGGACGAUCAGCCACACUGGGACUGAGACACGGCCCAGACUCCUACGGGAGGCAGCAGUGGGGAAUUUUGGACAAUGGGGGCAACCCUGAUCCAGCAAUGCCGCGUGAGUGAAGAAGGCCUUCGGGUUAUAAAGCUCUUUUGUCAGGGAAGAAACACCGGCUCUAACACAGUCUGGGAAUGACGGUACCUGAAGAAUAAGCACCGGCUAACUACGUGCCAGCAGCCGCCGUAA
RNAcentral lists this ribosomal RNA (501 nucleotides) under uncultured bacterium. RNAcentral describes it as "partial 16S ribosomal RNA". It matches the Rfam family "Bacterial small subunit ribosomal RNA", at positions 30 to 523 of the family's 1533-position model. The record is from RNAcentral.